GACCUAUAUAAAAAGGACAAUUUUUGGCAGUAUUUCAUCAGAAUCUGAAUAGCUGCCAUCAGUUAAAGUUGUAAAAGUUAGCAAAUUAAAAAUUUAUUGUACAAAAUGAAAUUGGUACUUAGCUUGGUAUUGGUGAUGUUGGCGGUUGUAAGCUUAGAAGCUACAUUUGUUGAACCCUUUGAUCCCAACGCAGUCUUUGUACCGACUGUCAGUUUUUGCAAGUCGUUGUGCAUAUGGGGUGGCGUCUGUCCAUACGCUCCCUUACUUCUACCAGGAUGGGAUUGUAAGCCAGGUUAUUGUCGUUUAUUCAAAGGCGAUGUCUGCUUACCGCUUCUACCAACUACUACUACAACAACUACUACAACAACAACAACUACUACCGUUGCUCCAACUGUUUAAUUGUGCUCUGAAAUCAGA
Bradysia coprophila is the source of this 417-nucleotide long non-coding RNA. RefSeq lists it as uncharacterized. The record is from RefSeq and is a predicted model, not a curated record. NCBI's taxonomy places the organism in Eukaryota, Metazoa, Arthropoda, Insecta, Diptera, Sciaridae.